CUCCUCUUCCCGACAUCCGCCCUCGCAGCAUCCCCGGCGCCCCCGAGCCGCGCACCUUGACGAAGUGAAACGCCGGUCCGGGCUUCAGGGUGACGUUCUCGUUCUCCUGCUGAAUUUCCUGAUGCAAGGAAGCUUAUAUGAUCAUACCAUCUGUCCAUCGUUCCCCAGUGAUGCCCAGUUCCAGAUGAAUUUGGCAGAAGGAUAAAGAUCUCAAAGAGAUUUAAAUUCUCCAAACGUUUAAUGCCCAUCAGCAGCAGCCUCCAGGAAAAGCCUGUACUGCAAAUGCAGUAUAUUAAUCUGCUUGUUCUUGUGCUACAUAACAGUGAAUGAAUGCUGCCUGGCUGCCUGCCUUCUCCAGUCAGCCCUAUUGCCCAUGGUCCCAUUGAGCACAGGGGGUCUGGAGCGGUAGGAGCUUUGUGGAAGGAAGGAGCUCAAAGUGUGUUAUUAAUGGAAAAAAAAAAAGAAGCAAACCUACACUUCUAUCUGGAAGGAUGUGAAAUAUUUCCAAACAUUUAACAUACUGAGACCAGAAGUAAGGAAAAGACUCACGACGGAAGGACCUUUUCUGCCUUUAAAUUUGGUGUUCCACUCCUCCGUAACACCGAGAUGAUCAGAGCCCUGGCAGGGCAGCGGUCUGUCCAACUGCCAGCAGAGAAGCUCUGACCUGACAGCAGACUCAAUCUUCUGGUCUGAUGGACGAUGGUGGUGCCAGCACAUGUGUCUUCUGGAAGAUAGGAAUGUGGAUCUCACACAGCAGUAGGACUUUUUUUCCCUUUACAAUGGCCGAGCAGAGCAGCAGCAGUGCCAUUGAUUCCUGCUGUUGCCGCCCUGCUGAACGCCAAGACAGAUAAACUGUGGGAUGUUCUUAGCAGCUCCUCCAUGGGGUAGUAAGAUAAACAUGAGAAACAUAAGGAGAUAUUAAAGAGUAGAUUAUAAUCCAUUUUCAGGAAACAGCAUUUUCUCCAGCAAGAGAGACUGAACUUUAUCAAAGGGGAAACUUCUCCAGGAGGACUUGCCAAAGUAAAUCUCUUUGAUGCAAAUGGUUUAAGCAAAGACAUUCACCUUAAUCUACUGUGUGGUGACCUGCUCUUCUGAUACAAAGAAUAAUUAUGGGUGUUUUCGGAAUUGCUGUGGUCUGCAAAUCCUCCAAAUCUAAGUUCUUAAUGUUCCCGCUUCACCACUCUGAUCUUGGUCACCCACAUUUCUUGUAAUUUUGGCCUUGCUUAAUGCCUUUAGGUGUUGUUACUUGGAAAGACUUCACUGCCUUUUGAAGGACAGAUCAAAAAAUAACAAGCUUUUUUUUUUUUUUUUACCUUUACAUUUAAUUGUUGUGCCUGGGUCUAAUAAAGUGAAUGACCCACAAAUAACUUGAUCGAAGUGCAGAACACAGUGGAGUGGAGAAGACGAGUGUUUAGCUGUUGAAAUCAAUACUUUCAUGCAGAUUGAUGUCUGUGCCAGUUUGCCAUCCCGGACGUUUUCAGUUUAGUUUAUUUGUGUUACAGUAGUAGUGACAAUGUAGUUAAAUAUAGCCUCUGAAAACAGGAUCUCUGCUUGUUUCAUUUGUAUUCUACUGUUCUUUCAUUAAACAUUUCUUCAUCUUUGCAGAGCCAAAUUCUUACAAUAAUAAAUCAGAGACACCUAAA
Gallus gallus (chicken) is the source of this 1643-nucleotide long non-coding RNA. RefSeq lists it as uncharacterized. NCBI's taxonomy places the organism in Eukaryota, Metazoa, Chordata, Aves, Galliformes, Phasianidae. The record is from RefSeq and is a predicted model, not a curated record. The transcript is spliced from 4 exons.